RNAcentral lists this long non-coding RNA (384 nucleotides) under Prunus dulcis (almond). RNAcentral describes it as "sRNA ncRNA". The record is from RNAcentral. Lineage: Eukaryota; Viridiplantae; Streptophyta; Magnoliopsida; Rosales; Rosaceae.
AUGCUGCUACCUGGAGGAGACAAGAAUUUACCUCUAUUAUUUCUUAAAUUUGUGCCAGACCUGGUUCAUGUGUUUGAAGUGUUUCUGCCCCAACGUCUUUUAUAUCCCAACCCAUUGGAUCCAUUGAAUGGAGAGGCAGCUGCUAUGCAUGAUCGUUCUGCUUAUGAACAAAGAGUAAAAGGUAGUAAUUAUUUGCAGCUUUUUUGAAUUGAGUAUACAUUGGUUGCCUCUUGUAUGGCUUGCACUGACAUGCUUGAGACUUACUUUAGUUCCUUCCUUUUUUCGUUGUUCGCAUAUACAGCCUUCGUUGCAGGAGGCAGAGGAGGAUUUCAAAAUCAUAACUGGACUGUUUUUAAGAAAGUUUUGAAGGUCAUGAAUCUGUGA